RNAcentral lists this long non-coding RNA (1170 nucleotides) under Heterocephalus glaber (naked mole-rat). RNAcentral describes it as "lncRNA (ENSHGLG00000047008.1)". The record is from RNAcentral. Lineage: Eukaryota; Metazoa; Chordata; Mammalia; Rodentia; Bathyergidae.
GGGGGAAAAGGCUGCAGGAGGACUUCAUUGCAGGACACCUGCCACCCAGAUGGAGCCCGCAUGGCUUGGGGGGACAGCAUGGGAGAAAAGCAGGGGCUGAAAGCUGGUGUGCAGUCAGGGCAGACGUGAGACAAAGAAGAGCUGUCCGGCCCGUGGUCAGGCUCAGGACCUUGAAACUGUCGUGUAAGGACACCAGCAGAGGCUACGGGGCGGGGAUGUUCCUUAGCUCACAGAGAGCUGUGCUGGAGGAAAUCCAAGGACUCAGAGGACUCAAGGACUCAAGUACUCAGGAUUGCCUGUCCAUGAAAAGACCCAAGAAAGAAUCCUCCAGUCUCAGAGAAUAGAAAGGAAGGCACAUCCUUACCAAAGCGCUGGAACUAGAGGUUGGCUUUGAACUUCUCCAGCCAGCUGCACUGAAGCAGGAUCAGAGAUGUUUCCAUAAGUGACCUCAAAUCUGAUUUGGAAUAAAUCAACUGGUAAAUAAACCUUCAAAUAAAAGAGCGCUCUACUGCAUGGAAAGAGAUGCAAACCCCACCCCCAUCAUUUGCUGGCACUAUCUUGAAUCCCACUGGGAUGACUGGGAUGGGUAUAGAUUUUCCCAAGAGGAGCAAAACACCCUAGCAACUGCUAUCAGUAGCUUCUGAGAGGCCAAGGCCUCCAGGCAUUGAGAAGUUUGGUCUGACUGUGAAGUGGAAGACAGGGCUGGAGGAAUGACUAGUAGCUGAUGCUGAGUCCCUGAGGAUGACCCUGGGACCUUCGGGUGAGCUGAAACUUGGGUUGGUAAUUUCAGAUUCUGUUCAGAUUUAGCUCAGGUACCUGAUGAGAGCUGCCAAGACCCCAAGGUCCCCAUGGGCAGGACAAAAAGAAAUUGGCACUGAAUGAUAGAAAAGGGCAGGCAUGAUGAUGUGGUGUGCAGGAAAUACACCCUUGAAAUGAGGCCCUGGGGACCCAGGAACCAGAUUGGAUCAGUGACAAAAGCCAAGGACCCUCUCAGAAACUAGAAAAGCCCUCUAGAACUGAGAAGAAAGUUGUGGAACUAGGGAAGAACCUGAGCCCAGAGACGCCUUUUGUUCCCAACGGGCAGGAAAUAGGAAUAAAAUAUACUUUACAAAAAUAAAAUUACAUUUCUUGUUCCUAAGUUUGUAGAACAGAUGUGGAAUCCAUGCUCCC